This 4673-nucleotide long non-coding RNA is filed under the name Homo sapiens (human). RNAcentral's name for it is "HSALNT0269910". Lineage: Eukaryota; Metazoa; Chordata; Mammalia; Primates; Hominidae. The record is from RNAcentral.
AAAGUGCGUGUGUGCCUUUUUUACCCAUUGUUUUGUGGUGUGUGUGUGGUGUGAGCGUGAUGUUUUGUCUCGAGGAAACAUAGGUGAGGCACAAAGUAAGCCCACCCCUCUAGGAACUAUGUUGAAAAUUUUCAAAAAAAAAAAAAAAGGUCGGGGGGGCGAUUUAAGAGAGACUAUGGAGUACUAUGACACAAGGAAAACUUAAAAACUUUGUGUAAGAUAGACUGUCCAGCAUUAGAGGUAGGUUGGCCUUUAGAAGGAAGCCUGGACAGGUCCCCUGUUUCAAAGGUAUGGCACAAGGUUCCCUGUAAGCCAGGGAACCCAGACCAGCUCCCGUACAUAGACACUUGGUUACAGCUGGUUUUAGACCCCCUGCCCCCAACACACAGUGGUUGAGAGAACAGCAGCAUAAAUGGCUGGCAGAGGCAAUGAAAGAGCAGCAGAGAGAGAGAAAGGAAAGAGACAGAGAGGAAGAGAUAGACAAAGAAGGAGUCAAGGAGAGAGAGAGAGAGAGGCAGAGAGAGAGAGAAAGAGACAGAGGCAAAAGGAAAGUCAAAGAGAGAGAGAGACAAAGUCAAAAAGAGAAAGAAAGAAAGGUGAUUUAACAUUAACCACUGAAAAUUCCCUUAACCCAGCAGGUUUCCUAACAGGGGAUCUAAAUCUUAAUUACCAUACAAAGGUCUGACCAGACCUAGGAGGAACUCCCUUCCGGACAGGACGAUUGAUGGUUCCUCUCAGGUAAUUGAUAAAAAAAAAAAAAGCCAUCUAUACCAAUUCUAAUUUGGACAAAACAAGGUCUUAUUAAUAUCAAAGGAUAAAUAAAAUCCCAAAUUUACAAGGUUUUCAACAAAAGUAAAGUUUGCUAAAAGUUAACAGUGUAACGUGUAUUAUAGUAACUUCUAAUCUUGUGGCCUUAGACAGUCUAGUCCACAGACAUAAAAAAAAAGUUCACUUUAGAAAAGAAUGGUUAUCAUCUUCGGAAAAAAAAAAAAAAGAAAAAAAUAAAAAAGGGGAGGCAGAGUUUACAUAAAAAGAGUAUUAUAUAAUAAAUUCUUGUCCUGAAAUAAAUUAACUGGUUAUUUAAAGAAAGAAAUAUUUGUAAUAAGUCAGAAAGUUGAGGCAUGUCAAAAAAAUUGCCUGUAAAUAAAAUCUUACCUUCUAGCCAAAAUUAAAAAUUAGAUAAAUAUGUCUACAAGGUUUUAUUAAAAUUAAGUUUAACAUUAGUAACACACUAAUAUAAAGAUAAAAUUUAGCUUAUCUGGUAUAAAAAUCAUACGAGAAGCAUUGUUAAAUGUAAAAUAGUAUUUGGCUUUCUUUAGUCUAAAAACUAAUAAAAAUAGGUGCUAAAGGAAAUCUUUCAGUAAAAAGGCACUAAGGACUAUAAAGUCCACCACCAAGGUCCCCACAUUUAAAACAAACGGUCAAUUUCUUAGAAAUUAUAUACUUAGUUUAUCUUCCACUUUCUUUUCUCUCAAAAACUAAAAGUCUUUUAGCACAUGUACCACCCCUAGAAUUUCCAGUAAACCAGCACCAGCCUGAAGAUCACGUUCUCAUCAAAAGGUAGAAAGAAGAAAAACUCGAGCCAGCCUGGGAAGGACCUUACCUUGUGCUGCUAACCACCAAGACCGCUGUUCACACAGCAAAGAAAAAAAAAAAAAGAAUGGACUUAUUACACCCGAGUCAAGAAAACGCCACCCCCUCCAGAGUUGUAGGCCAUAGUCCCAGGGGAAAACCCUACCAAACUAAAGCUAAGAAAAAUUUAACUCUUUUCAUCUAUUCUAUUACUCUUUUUUCUUUCCUUGUUCUGUUGCUAACCAUCUAGUUAUUAACAUAACCAAGUCAAUUUCGCCGCCUCAAACUACUGCAUUUAAUGUUUGCCUUGUUAUACCCUGUGAGGACUUGCCUAGUCAAAGACAGCUCUCUACUUCAGAAACUUACAUCUGUCCCUCCUGACUCUCCUCAGACUGGGCGUUAGUAAACUAGGACCAUUUAAUCCAGGGAGAUUUCAAUAAAGACCCCAGUGCCAACCAGGAAUCUUGCCCCCCGAUGUAGAGCUUUCAUGCCACAGUUAGUCCAACGUUCUGUAGACCACUAAAGAGCAAGGAUGGACUGCCCCAACCAGUUUUUGUAAUUUCCUAAAACCAUACAUUCAUUUUACUAGAAGAUCAUAGAAGUUAAAGACUUAAAACAAACUUUAGCAAUUAAGACAGGAUACCAAGAUGCAAAUGGCUGGUUAAAAUAGAUCAAACAUUCCACCUGCACGUUAAACAAAAGCAAUUGUUAUGCUUGUGCACAUGGCAGGCCAGAGGCCCUGAUUGUCCCCCUUCCACUAAGGUGGUCCUCCAGUCGACCAGGCAUAGGCUGCAUAGUAGCUCUUUUCCAGGAUUCUACAGCCUGGAGUAAUAAGUCAUGCCAAGUUCUCUCUGCUAUAUCCCGAAGUCCGGCACCCUGCGGGUCAGCCCCCGAGGGCCAUCCAGCCUCCGUCUCCCAACACUAAGUUCACUUUGUGUCUCUUAUGACAACGAGGAAACUUAGUGUUCCUUAGAGACCUGAAAGGAUGCAGUGAGCUUAAGAAUUUUCAAGAGCUUAUCAGUCAGUCAGCCCUUGUUCAUCCCUGAGUGGAUGUGUAGUAGUAUCAAUGGUAGACCUUUACUGGGCACUCUGCCGAAUAACUGGAGUAGCACUUGUAUUUUAGUCCAGUUGGCUAUCCCUUUCACCCUGGCAUUUCAUCAACCAGAAGGAAAAAAAAAUAAGACAUCGUAAAGCGAGAGAAGCCCCUUAUAAGUCUUUCGACUCUCAUGUCUAUUUAGACGCAAUUGGAGUCUCACGAGGAAUACCAGAUCAAUUUAAAGCUUGAAAUCAAAUAGCUGCAGGAUUUAAGUCAAUAUUUUAGUAGGUGACAGUUAAUAAAAAUAUAGAUUAGAUAAACUACAUCUAUUACAACCAACAGCAACAAGGUUUUCAUGAGUUAAAAGAAAAACUCAUGUCGGCCCCAGCCCUGAGGCUACCUGACCUGACAAAACUCUUUACAAUCUAUGUGUCAGAAAGAGAAAAAAUAGCAGUUAGAGUUUUAACCCAGACUGUAAGGCCCUGGCCAAGGCCAGUGGCCUAUCUCUCAAAACAACUAGACAAGGUUUCCAAAGGCUGGCCCCCAGGUCUAAAGGCCCUAGCAGCAACGACCCUGUUAGCACAAGAAGCAGAUAAACUAACACUUAGGCAAAACCUAAAUAUAAAGGCCCCCCCAUGUAGUAACUUUAAUGACUACCAAAAGACAUCAUUAGUUAACAAAUGCUAGAUUAACCAAGUACCAAAGCUUGCUAUGUGAAAAUCCCCACAUAACCAUUGAAGUUUGCAACACCCUAAGCCCCACCACCUUGCUCCUGGUAUCAGAGAGCCCAGUUGAACAUAACUGUGUAGAGGUGUUAGACUCAGUUUAUUCUAGCAGGCCCAACCUCCAGAGACCAUCCUUAAACAUCAGUAGACUGUGAGUGGUACAUGGACAGGAGCAGCUUCACCGACCCCUGCAAAAUGACUCUGAAGAAGAUGAGAAGCCCUGCUCCAGUCACACCCAGAAGCUGACUGGUCCACGCACGGCCGAAGCAUAAGAAAACUCAUCGCAGGACUCAUUUUCCUUAAAAUUUGGACUUGUACAGUAAAGACUUCAACUGUCCUUCCUCAGACUGAAGCCUGUUCCCAGUGUAUACAUCAAGUCACUGAGGCACAGGUAUCUCACACUCGGUCAAUCAUCAGACUCGCCUGAGGUUUCAAAUCACCCUUGAGCACAGGUUCAUCCCCAUCCGAUGACAUCCAAAUCCCUGGCGGUGACUCCCAGUCAGCAGCAUGUCCUCAGAGCAUCCCAGGAACUUCCAACAAGCAAUCAGAGCCCCUGAAAUAUGGUGGAGACAGCAAAUUGGUGGGACUGAGGAGCAAGAAGACAAUUACAACAACAAUAUUAAUUUUUUCUUAAAGAUAACCAGAAAUUGGUCGGGUGCAGUGGUUCAUGCCUGUAAUCCCAGCACUUUGGGAGGCCGAUGUGGGCAGAUCACCUGAGGUCAGGAGUUCAAGACCAGCCUGGCCAACCUGUCUCUACUAAAAAUACAAAAAUUAGCCAUGUGUGGUGAUGGACGCCUGUAAUCCCAGCUACUUGGGAGGCUGAGGCAGGAGAAUCACUUGAACCCGGGAGGCAGAGGUUGCAAUAAGCCCAGAUCACGCCACUGCACUGCAGCCUGGGCAACAGAGCAAGACUCCGUCUCAAAAAAAAAGAGAACCAGAAAUUAUUCAACAUCCGAGCAGCUGCUGUGCUUCUUCUCCCAGCCAUGGUGAAGCUCAGAAAUGAUGGCGUCUCCUUCUAGUGGCUGCUAGUGGAUUACAAGGGGUUUCAGGGGGUCCAUGCACAGUCUUGUAAGAUGGGCAGAGACAGCGGCCCGGAGCCAGGCACAGCAACAGGUCCCGAGUGCAGGGCGAAUGCCUGCCAGUGGGGUUUGUCUGUUUCUUUUUCAUUCUUUUGCUGAAUUUAUCUUUUGUGAACAAAUCACAUAGUAAAUGCUGAUAGUUUAAAAUAUAUAUGUGUGCGUGUGUGGUUAAUAAAUUUUCAAAAGUUAAAUUGUCAAAUAGUAUUGUCUUUAUUAAGUACAACUAGUUUGUUCAUAUAAAAAGUAAUCGUAACGUUUUCC